This 111-nucleotide microRNA precursor is filed under the name Olea europaea subsp. europaea. The record is from RNAcentral. Lineage: Eukaryota; Viridiplantae; Streptophyta; Magnoliopsida; Lamiales; Oleaceae.
UAUGGUACAAACCCAUGCGGUCGCAUGGCCUAAAAAAAAAAAAAAAAAAAAAAAAAUUUUUUUUUUUUUUUUUUUUUUUUUAGGCCAUGCGACCGCAUGGGUUUGUACCAU